Long non-coding RNA from Lagenorhynchus albirostris (white-beaked dolphin), 3763 nucleotides. RefSeq lists it as uncharacterized. The transcript is spliced from 2 exons. NCBI's taxonomy places the organism in Eukaryota, Metazoa, Chordata, Mammalia, Artiodactyla, Delphinidae. The record is from RefSeq and is a predicted model, not a curated record.
CAGGGUCAGCAGCCAUGGCUCACGGGCCCAGCCACUCUGCGGCAUGUGGGAUCUUCCCGGACCGGGGCACGAACCCGUGUCCCCUGCAUCGGCAGGUGGACUCUCAACCACUGCGCCACGAGGGAAGCCCGAAAUCAGUGGAGGAAGAGAGCAGCAGUGUUCCUGAGUGUCCCUGGAAACUCUAUUUAGUAGCCUGCUUUCUGAAGAUUUGCCCACCCUGCCCUGGGGACGUGGUGUAUCCAGAGGCAAACCUAAGAAAAAAGAAGCCCUGGCACCAUAUGUAUGAAGACUUCUUCUGUCCUUCUCCUCCUCUUGAGUAUACAGAUAAGCAUAGGAGGGAGCAGAGCAAAGAAUCAAGGGAAGUUUCUGGCACUACCGGUUUCAGAGAGUACAAGCUUUUAAUAGCCAAUAUACACUUUUGCUUUGGUAUAUCUACUCAGGCAAGGCCAAUGCCCUCCAGGAAGUUACCUGAUAGGAAAACGAAAGCAUCACCUCCUCUCAUAAAAAUCCAUGAUUCACACAUUCAUUCAUUCAUCAGUUACUUAUUAAAUAUCAACUACGUGUCAGGCACAGGUCUAGGCACUAGGGAAACAGCAGCAACAAAAAUAGUAAAUACUAGGGCUUCCCUGGUGGCACAGUGGUUGAGAGUCUGCCUGCCGAUGCAGGGGACACGGGUUCGUGCCCCGGUCCGGGAACAUCCCACAUGCCGUGAAGCGGCUGGGCCCGUGAGCCAUGGCCGCUGAGCCUGCGUGUCCGGAGCCUGUGCUCCGCAACGGGAGAGGCCGCAACAGUGAGAGGCCCGCGUACCGCAAAAAAAAAAAAAAAAAAAGUAAAAACUACAACAACAAAAACAACCUUGCCCUUAUGGAACGUAUGGAACUUUCUGUCUUUUUGGGGAGAAAGACAAUAAACAAAACAAGCAAGUACAGAGGCAAUUAGUGCUAUGGAGGAAAAAUAAAACAGGGAAAGAGUAGAGACAGAGCUGGGGGUGGUGAAGAAGGGAGUUUGAAAGGAUAAAUAAAUAGGGCGACCAGGGAAGGCCUCACUGGAAUUCAGUGUGGCCUUGGUCAUAAACCCUCAAGAAAGAUCUCUUGAAGCUGGAAAAGACCCUGAGAAAGAGACUCAAACAAUCGAUCAAGAAAGAAUUUCAUCAGGUAACUACUGAUAUCUACUAUGGUAUAGAUGAGUGCUCAUCAAAUAUUCCAUGUACUUUCCUACAUUUCCCAGCCUUCCCUGCAUUAGGUUGGAGCCAUAGGACUAGUAGUCGCCAAUCGUUUGUGAGCAGAAGUGAUAUGGGGCUUCGUUGGUGGCGCAGUGGUUAAGAAUCUGCCCGCCAAUGCAGGGGACAUGGGUUUGAGCCCUGGCCCGAGAAGAUCCCACAUGCCACAGAGCAACUAAGCCCUUGCGCCACAACUAGUGAGCCUGCACUCUAGAGCCCGCGAACCACAACUACUGAAGCCCAUGUGCCUGGAGCCCGUGCUCGGCAACAGGAGAAGGCACCGCAAUGAGAAUCCCGCACACCACAACGAAGAGUAGCCCCCGCUCACCACAACUAGAGAAAGCCUGCACACAGCAACGAAGACUCAACGCAGCCAAAAAGAAAUAAAAAUUAAAAAAAAAAAAUCCUGUUAAAAAAAAAAAGAGGUGAUAAGUAUCAUUUCUGGGCUGAGGCAUUUAAAAGCCCAAGUGCUUCCUUCCCCUUCCCUUGCCUACCUUGGCCAUCUUGGAGGCACAUGCUCCUGGCUGAUUGUCUGCCCUCAACCCGCUCCUCUCGUCUCAUUUUUUUUCAGGCAUUCAUCUUUCCCUCAUGCAGCCCAUGUGACUCAAGGUACACUGAGCCCAUCCUUAGCUGCAAAGCCAGUGUGCUGGGUCUAACCCAGUGGUUCUCUUUAAGUGUGGUUCUUAGGCUAAUGACAUCAGCAUUAUUUGGGAUCUUGUUAGAAAUGUACAAUCAGAAAAGUAAAUUCUCAGCCCCCAACCCCUCAAGACUACUGAAUCAGAAACUCUGGGGCUGGGGCCCUGCAAUUUGUAUUUUAAUAAGCCCUCCUGCUGAUUCUGAUGCAGGCUUAUAUUUGAGAACCACUUGUCCUCACCAAUCAUGUUAAUCACAUUCCCCUUGAUAAUGAUUGGUUCCUGAAUCCAGGUUUAAGCCAGUCAGUGUCUGGCAUUCCCCUGGCAGCUGAACUGGUUCAAAGGGAGUCAUGUGACUUGAGUUGGCCCAAGUCAGACUGAAGAGAAGGCUAUUGAAGCCACAGUUGAAGGAGGUUUUUUUUCCCUUCCUAAGCUUUCCAGGACCCUGCUCCUUCCCUUACCCCUGUUGAUGGACACGAGUGAGGUUGCCUUCUUUGCCGACCAUGAGGGAAACUAGGCUGAGGGCAGAGCUGAAAGGAUCACAGUGAAAAGGAGCCAGAAUGCUUGCACUGUGCCUGUUCCCUGAAAUAACACAUUUCCUUAUGAUUUAAGCCAGUUGGACUUGUGGUUUCUUGUACUUAUAGCCAAAACUGUCAUAACUACAAAGAAGUUAUGAGACCAAGGAAGCAUGGGGCCAAUGGGCAUACCAAAAAUAUUCUAGGAUGAUGAAGGACGUAUUUAGUUAACAGGGAUUUUUUUUUUUCCACCAAGUUCUCAAACACUAGACCCAGCUAGAAUGACUGUUAUAACUUGGGAAAAGCAAUUUAGGACAAAUAAAAUGGAGCAUUACUUCAUGCACUGGGUCCCCAGGUGGUGAACUGACUAAAAAUACACAACUAAUAUUUUUUUAAAAAGAGGGGGACUUAAGUAAUCUUCUUAAGUGAAAUGAAAAAAAUGGAGUAAUACACAAGAUGAGCCCAGAAUAUAUUGUAGUUCCAGAAAGUAAGAAAGUGCUCAAAAAAGAAUGGAAUGCAGGAACCAGCCUGAAAGAACUCCCAAUGACUGAAGCCAAGACAAUUUGACAACAAAAUAAAUAAUGAUAGCAUUGGAUAAUAAACCAGACUAAAGUAAUUACCCAUGAGUCCGUAAUGAUAUAAAUAAAUAAUUGAAUAAGUAAAGAAAUGGGAGAGAAGAUAUAGCUCUUCCCUAUAGAAGAGUUCCAAUGAAUUAAUGUAGAAGGAAUGAAUGAAAGAAAUGGAAAAGCAGUUAGAACACCACGGUAAUCAUUGUUGCAAGUGUGAUCCACUGAUGGAUGCUAAAAUUAAUGGAAGAAGGUUUGAAGAGAAACAGGAUAUUUGUAUAGUCUCAAAGUAUCUUCCUCAAGGGAGAAAAUGCACAUAGAAGACAAACUAGGGUGUCACAGGGCUGUGUAUGUCCAGGGUUUUCCCCUGAAAUACGCCCUGUGGUUUCAGACACAGGUAAACAGAGAUUUGGUUUAAAAUUGCAUGGCCAGGACUUCAUGGGUUCCUCCAAGAAACAAGAAGGGGAUCAGAGACCUUCAGUUAGGACUGAGCUGGAUGAGGCCUGGCCCAAAGUGUUGUCCUCUGUGUUCUACUCUCUACGAACCCAAUGGGUUCGUCUUCCUCACCGCCCCCCCGCAUCUCUACCCCAAUGCCAAGGCUGCUCUCUGGAGGCAGGGUGGUGGUCAGUUGCACAAGCCAAUGCCAGUGUGCAGAUCUACUGGAAUGCAUCUAGUUUCCUCUGGAUUUUCUGGUUGGUUAUUUGUGUUGGCAGGGGGCCAUGCUCAGUUCCUCCCAAACUGGAACACAUUCUCUGGAAGGGCUGGUCCCACCAUUCUCAUCUUGGUUGAGGUCAAAGUUUCAUCGUUCAUUAAACUACCAUUUGUAAUUUU